RNAcentral lists this ribosomal RNA (225 nucleotides) under uncultured bacterium. RNAcentral describes it as "partial 16S ribosomal RNA". It matches the Rfam family "Bacterial small subunit ribosomal RNA", at positions 114 to 334 of the family's 1533-position model. The record is from RNAcentral.
CACAUGGGUGAUCUACCCCGAGGUGAGGAAUACCGGCGAGAAAUCGCCGACAAGACCGCAUAGGGUUCUCCGGGGACGACUCGGAGAAGCAAAGUUGCGCAAGCGACGCCUGGGGAUGAGCCCGUGGCCGAUUAGCUAGUUGGUGGGGUAAGAGCCUACCAAGGCGACGAUCGGUAGCUGGUCUGAGAGGACGAGCAGCCACACUGGGACUGAGACACGGCCCAG